CACGUAGGCACCAAGCGUUGUCCGGAUUUAUUGGGCGUAAAGAGCUCGUAGGCGGUUCGGUAAGUCGGGUGUGAAAACUUUGGGCUCAACCCAAAGCGUGCACUCGAUACUGCUGUGACUAGAGUUCGGUAGGGGAGUGGGGAAUUCCUAGUGUAGCGGUGAAAUUCGUAGAGAUUGGGUGGAACACCAGUGGCGAAGGCGCCUAUCUGGCUGACAACUGACGCUGAGACUCGAAAGCAUGGGGAGCAAACAGG
RNAcentral lists this ribosomal RNA (254 nucleotides) under uncultured bacterium. Its description in RNAcentral is "partial 16S ribosomal RNA". It matches the Rfam family "Bacterial small subunit ribosomal RNA", at positions 524 to 776 of the family's 1533-position model. The record is from RNAcentral.